ACCCAACUGAAGAGUCCCAGGUAAGACGGAACGCGCGUCCUAGAU
Molecule: non-coding RNA, 45 nt
Organism: Schistosoma mattheei
Lineage: Eukaryota; Metazoa; Platyhelminthes; Trematoda; Strigeidida; Schistosomatidae
Source: Rfam